Molecule: ribosomal RNA, 255 nt
Filed under: uncultured bacterium
Lineage: Bacteria
Description: partial 16S ribosomal RNA
Rfam family: Bacterial small subunit ribosomal RNA
Source: RNAcentral
CACGUAGGGCGCAAGCGUUGUCCGGAAUUAUUGGGCGUAAAGAGCUUGUAGGCGGUUUGUCGCGUCUGCUGUGAAAAUCCGGGGCUCAACCCCGGACUUGCAGUGGGUACGGGCAGACUAGAGUGUGGUAGGGGAGACUGGAAUUCCUGGUGUAGCGGUGGAAUGCGCAGAUAUCAGGAGGAACACCGAUGGCGAAGGCAGGUCUCUGGGCCACUACUGACGCUGGAGGAGCGGAAAGCGUGGGGAGCGAACAGG